This 252-nucleotide ribosomal RNA is filed under the name uncultured bacterium. Its description in RNAcentral is "partial 16S ribosomal RNA". It matches the Rfam family "Bacterial small subunit ribosomal RNA", at positions 524 to 776 of the family's 1533-position model. The record is from RNAcentral.
UACGGAGGGUGCAAGCGUUGUCCGGAUUUAUUGGGUUUAAAGGGUGCGUAGGCGGCUAAUUAAGUCAGCGGUGAAAUUCCACAGCUCAACUGUGGAACUGCCAUUGAUGCUGGUUGGCUUGAGUACAGAUGAGGUAGGCGGAAUUGACAGUGUAGCGGUGAAAUGCUUAGAUAUUGUCAAGAACACCUAUUGCGAAGGCAGCUUACUAGCUGUAACUGACGCUGAGGCACGAAAGCGUGGGGAUCAAACAGG